RNAcentral lists this ribosomal RNA (449 nucleotides) under uncultured bacterium. Its description in RNAcentral is "partial 16S ribosomal RNA". It matches the Rfam family "Bacterial small subunit ribosomal RNA", at positions 29 to 523 of the family's 1533-position model. The record is from RNAcentral.
AACGAACGCUGGCGGCAGGCUUAACACAUGCAAGUCGAACGAGAUCUUCGGAUCUAGUGGCAGACGGGUGAGGAACACGUGGGAACAUCCCUUUCAGUUCGGAAUAACGUUGGGAAACUAACGCUAAUACCGGAUACGUCCUACGGGAGAAAGAUUUAUCGCUGAAAGAUUGGCCCGCGUCUGAUUAGCUAGUUGGUGAGGUAGCGGCUCACCAAGGCUACGAUCAGUAGCUGAUCUGAGAGGAUGAUCAGCCACAUUGGGACUGAGUCACGGCCCAAACUCCUACGGGAGGCAGCAGUGGGGAAUAUUGGACAAUGGGCGCAAGCCUGAUCCAGCCAUGCCGCGUGAGUGAUGAAGGCCUUCGGGUUGUAAAGCUCUUUUGUCCGGGAAGAUAAUGACUGUACCGGAAGAAUAAGCCCCGGCAAACUUCGUGCCAGCAGUCGCCGUAA